This 253-nucleotide ribosomal RNA is filed under the name uncultured bacterium. RNAcentral describes it as "partial 16S ribosomal RNA". It matches the Rfam family "Bacterial small subunit ribosomal RNA", at positions 524 to 776 of the family's 1533-position model. The record is from RNAcentral.
UACGUAGGGGGCGAGCGUUGUCCGGAGUUAUUGGGCGUAAAGCGCGCGCAGGCGGUCUAGCCAGUCUGGAGUGACAGUUCCCGGCUCACCUGGGAAAGGUCUUCGGAAACUGCUAGACUUGAGGGACUCAGAGGGAGACGGAAUUCCAGGUGGAGCGGUGAAAUGCGUAGAGAUCUGGAGGAACACCAAAGGCGAAGGCAGUCUCCUGGGAGUUACCUGACGCUCAGGCGCGAAAGCCAGGGGAGCGAACGGG